Acinonyx jubatus (cheetah) is the source of this 3381-nucleotide long non-coding RNA. RefSeq lists it as uncharacterized. The transcript has 3 exons. NCBI's taxonomy places the organism in Eukaryota, Metazoa, Chordata, Mammalia, Carnivora, Felidae. The record is from RefSeq and is a predicted model, not a curated record.
UUAGUAAACGGCCAGAGACUUAGGACAGGCCUGCCACAUGAAUGAAUGAAUGCAUGAAUGAACAGCGACAGGUUCUCAGGAAGGAGAGGGCUACCUGAGGGGCUCAGAGCUUAGGGAGUCAGCGGAUGUGUUACCCGUGGAGCAGGCUCCCAGGGCCAGGCGGGACGAACCAGGAAGCAGAUGGUUCUGUGAAAGCCAGAUGACUGAGGCUGUGAGCCGGGCGUGGGAGACCCCUGAAUGGCUUGGGACAGACGUCCUGGUUGGAGUGGGGAUGUGUGUGUGUGUGUGUGUGGGGGGGGGAAACCCGGCCGCUGCCUCACGUUCUGGGGGUCUGGGUAGACCACAAGGCAUAGGGCAGAGUUCUAGAGCCACGGCUCGGCUCCCUUGACUGGCUGGGACUCCCUGGGAAGGUCAUGAUCAUGACCUUCGCAGAGGCCCCGAGGUCACUCGUGCUGGAGUCUGCUGCAGAUCCCUUUCUUACUCUGGGCUCCCCUCGAAACCGGCCGGUGACAGAUGCACUGUUGCUCGAUAACUGGGUCGGAGCAGAAUCCCCUGGUGGGGCGGAUACGGCCUCCAAACAUGCCUCUUUUUUGGUGACAGGAGGGACAACGUGUAAGUUGUCCUUCAUCUUGGAAGGGAUGUCUCAGUGCCUCCAAAGCACCACACCCUAAACGCCUCCCCAGUGAGUCACGCCCCCGGCAGGUGUGUGUCUUACCAGGUACUUGCGCCUUCUGGCCGACGACCGCGAUGUCAUCAGUGUGCAGGACCGGCGGGACGCCGUGCAGGAUGGCUAGGUGACCACGGGCGACCCCCGGGUGCACGUCCUUCCCUGUGAGUGCCGCCUGCUUCGCUCCUGAUGCUACUCGGAAAGAACACAUUCACCAGAUCGACAGCCACGCGCCCGGGGCCCAGGGCUGUCGAUCUGUCCUCGCAAAGAUGCCGGCACAGCAUCUGCCGUUGAAGUUACCAAAUAUCCACCAGGACCCGUGUGGUUUUUGCAGGGACUGUGCUGGUGAGUUCAGCGGGGACAGGAGUGGGCCACCUCCCCGUAUCAUCCAAGCCUUUGCCAUUCCCCUGGGGCUGCCCGUUGCCUCUGAUUCAUAGACUCAGACGGGAGCUGAGGGCAUUUCUAAGGGUUUCUACUAGGCCUUUCCCACCGUGAUGGUCCCAGCAGGCACUGGAGAGCUUCCUCUGGGAAAACGAGGCUCGCGGGUCUCUCCUCCUUCCGGGUUCUGGACGGAGGCGGCCUGGGUCACCGGCUGACCCUGAUACACAGCAGUACACGGUCAGCGUCUGGCAACAACACUUGGUCUUCACCGAGUUAACUUCUGUGUUGUGUUUCUAUUGACAACAAGUGACCCUGGGCUUCCGUCUCUGCUGCCGAUUUACAGCUUUUGUUUCUGGCCCAGGUCUUACCGAAACACCUGAUCAGAUUGAAAGAGACCGCGUGGAGGGCGGGGGAGGGUGUGGGGCGCUGGGUCAGGCCCUACAGGACCAGCUGUCCCGCUCUCUGCCGCCCCCUGCGGGCCACGUCCUGUGGGUCCCGCGGCCUCACUUGGGCUGGUCUGUUGUUCAGGUUUGGGGGCGCCAACGGACUGCCCCCUCUGCACCGGGCGCCUCCGCCCACGCCCCCGGGGGUCCAGAGACGAACCGGGGACGCGGCCGUGCCCUCCGAGGGCUCCCGGGGGGACAGCAGUGCAGCUGCUCCUGGGCCGGACUCAGCCAGGAGCCAGUGGGGACCCCUCCCAGGGCACCGGGGCCUCAGCCCGGAGCUGUGCCUGCAGGCGGGCUGUGGAGUGUUGGGACACGGCGACAAGCUUCCGGGAGGACCACCUAACGUCCAUGCCCUGACCUCAGCACCCUGACCUGUUUCAUCCUGACCUCCACACCCUGAUCGCAGAGUCCCAACCUGUGCGCCCUGACCUCUGCUCCCUGACCUGCAUACCCUGACCUCCACGCUCUGACCUCGUCGCCCUGACCUCUGCACCCUGACCUGCGCACCUUCACCUCCACGCCCUGACCUCCGCUGCGUGACCUUGGCGCGCUAAGCUGCGCACCUGACCCGGGCUCCCUGAGCUGUUCCGACUUAACACGACGGGCCUGCAGUACCUCCUUACGGCCACACGGGGGCGUAGGGCCGCGCGCCCCGGGGCGGAGGAGCGUGGCCAGCGCGGCCGGCGGCGGGACCCGAUCCCCGGACACCUGGGCGCUGCGCCCCCAGGGGCUGGAUUCUGCCGUCGCCGACUCCAGCUUCUCCGUGGAGCCUGAGGGGCUACAGAGACCGCUCACGUUGGUGUGCAGGUGUGCCCACCCCCAGAGAGGCGUUUGGGGGUGCGGGUGGCGGAGGCCGCGCCCUCUCCGUCUGUUAGGUUUCAGUCCCCACAGUCGGAGACCAGGGGCAUCUGUCGUUUGCUCGCUGCAUACUCCCAAUGCCGGGGACAGCGCCCGACAGCCCAUUCGCUGAAAUGUCUGCACCGAGCCGGCGGAGUCAACCAACCGGGGACACGAAGUGGGAAACGAGGGACACUAGUCAUUGCAGUCAGGGCCCACCCUCCUCCAGUCUGACCUUGACCUAGUGACAUCUGCAAAUACCCUGGUUUUUGAAUAGGACCGCAUUUCGAGCUUCCGAGUGGACAUGAUUUGGAGAGGACACCAUUCCAAACCCUGUGCGUCCGGGAAUGGGACUGGGGAGCCCCUGUGCACCUGUUCCCCAGCGGGAGGAGGCCGCACCACCAGUAUCCUUUCCUGAAGUCUCCUUUCUGCUUCAGGGCAUCGUGAGGUCCGUAAGAAUACUGUGCACGGGAGGUCCAGUUGCCACAGGCACAGAUGUCCUCACUUCCAGCGUCUGUCAUUAGAGUGCUACGAUUGUUACUGCCCGCGGACACCGUGGAGACCAUCUUACCGGGCGCACAGCGCUGUUCACCCGGGGGCCCUGACAACGUCGAAGGGACGCGUCUAGCACCACACCCCACCUUCCAAUGACAUUCCCCAGCACGCGGGCUCCCGUCCGGCCCCGGCAGCCCUCGGGGAUGGCUGCACGCAGACCGUCCUGUACAGAAGGUCCCCUUCCAGGCCCUCCUCCCACUUUGUAUACCAAUGGCACCUGUAACUUGCAACAGCAGUUUUGUUUUUUUUUUUUUUUCUCUAGUAAAACAAAAAGCUGGAGGGGCUCCUGGGCGGCUCAGUCACUUAAGGGUCCAACUUCGGCUCAGGUCAUGAUCUUACAGCUCGUGAGUUCGAGCCCCGCGUGAGGCUCUGGGCCCACAGCUCAGAGCCUGGAACCGGCUUCGGAUUCUGUGUCUCCCUCUCUCUGUGCCCCUCCCCCACCCAUACUCCGUGUCUCUGUCUCUCACUCAAAAGUAAAUAAACAUUAAAGUCACA